RNAcentral lists this ribosomal RNA (468 nucleotides) under uncultured bacterium. RNAcentral describes it as "partial 16S ribosomal RNA". It matches the Rfam family "Bacterial small subunit ribosomal RNA", at positions 28 to 507 of the family's 1533-position model. The record is from RNAcentral.
GACGAACGCUGGCGGCGUGCUUAACACAUGCAAGUCGAACGGAAAGGCCCUGCUUUUGUGGGGUGCUCGAGUGGCGAACGGGUGAGUAACACGUGAGUAACCUGCCCUUGACUUUGGGAUAACUUCAGGAAACUGGGGCUAAUACCGGAUAGGAGCUCCUGCUGAAUGGUGGGGGUUGGAAAGUUUCGGCGGUUGGGGAUGGACUCGCGGCUUAUCAGCUUGUUGGUGGGGUAGUGGCUUACCAAGGCUUUGACGGGUAGCCGGCCUGAGAGGGUGACAGGCCACAUUGGGACUGAGAGACGACCCAGACUCCUACGGUAGGCAGCAGUGGAGAAUAUUGCACAAUGGUCGGAAGCCUGAUGCAGCAACGCCGCGUGCGGGAUGACGGCCUUCGGGUUAUAAACCGCUUUCGCCUGUGACGAAGCGUGAGUGACGGUAAUGGGUAAAGAAGCACCGGCUAACUACGUG